RNAcentral lists this ribosomal RNA (768 nucleotides) under Salmonella enterica subsp. enterica. RNAcentral's name for it is "bacterial LSU rRNA". It matches the Rfam family "Bacterial large subunit ribosomal RNA", at positions 371 to 1142 of the family's 2925-position model. Lineage: Bacteria; Pseudomonadati; Pseudomonadota; Gammaproteobacteria; Enterobacterales; Enterobacteriaceae. The record is from RNAcentral.
CCCCGUACACAAAAGCGCAUGUGCUGUGAGCUCGAUGAGUAGGGCGGGACACGUGAUAUCCUGUCUGAAUAUGGGGGGACCAUCCUCCAAGGCUAAAUACUCCUGACUGACCGAUAGUGAACCAGUACCGUGAGGGAAAGGCGAAAAGAACCCCGGCGAGGGGAGUGAAAAAGAACCUGAAACCGUGUACGUACAAGCAGUGGGAGCACCCUUCGGGGUGUGACUGCGUACCUUUUGUAUAAUGGGUCAGCGACUUAUAUUCUGUAGCAAGGUUAACCGAAUAGGGGAGCCGGAGGGAAACCGAGUCUUAACCGGGCGUUAAGUUGCAGGGUAUAGACCCGAAACCCGGUGAUCUAGCCAUGGGCAGGUUGAAGGUUGGGUAACACUAACUGGAGGACCGAACCGACUAAUGUUGAAAAAUUAGCGGAUGACCUGUGGCUGGGGGUGAAAGGCCAAUCAAACCGGGAGAUAGCUGGUUCUCCCCGAAAGCUAUUUAGGUAGCGCCUCGUGAAUUCAUCUCCGGGGGUAGAGCACUGUUUCGGCUAGGGGGCCAUCCCGGCUUACCAACCCGAUGCAAACUGCGAAUACCGGAGAAUGUUAUCACGGGAGACACACGGCGGGUGCUAACGUCCGUCGUGAAGAGGGAAACAACCCAGACCGCCAGCUAAGGUCCCAAAGUCAUGGUUAAGUGGGAAACGAUGUGGGAAGGCCCAGACAGCCAGGAUGUUGGCUUAGAAGCAGCCAUCAUUUAAAGAAAGCGUAAUAGCU